GACGAACGCUGGCGGCGUGCCUAAUACAUGCAAGUAGAACGCUGAAGGAGGAGCUUGCUUCUCUGGAUGAGUUGCGAACGGGUGAGUAACGCGUAGGUAACCUGCCUGGUAGCGGGGGAUAACUAUUGGAAACGAUAGCUAAUACCGCAUAAGAGUAGAUGUUGCAUGACAUUUGCUUAAAAGGUGCAAUUGCAUCACUACCAGAUGGACCUGCGUUGUAUUAGCUAGUUGGUGGGGUAACGGCUCACCAAGGCGACGAUACAUAGCCGACCUGGGAGGGGGUCCGCCACAAUUGGACCUGAGCACCGGCCCAGCUUCCUCCGGGAGGAACAGUUGGGGAUUCUUCGGCAAUGGCCGAAGGCCUGACGGAGAACCGCCGGGUGGGGGAGGAGGGUUUCCGGACGUUAAACCUUGUUGUAAGAGAAGAACGAGUGUGAGAGUGGAAAGUUCACACUGUGACGGUAUCUUACCAGAAAGGGACGGCUAACUACGUG
Molecule: ribosomal RNA, 494 nt
Filed under: uncultured bacterium
Lineage: Bacteria
Description: partial 16S ribosomal RNA
Rfam family: Bacterial small subunit ribosomal RNA
Source: RNAcentral